RNAcentral lists this RNase P RNA (456 nucleotides) under Candidatus Yanofskybacteria bacterium CG10_big_fil_rev_8_21_14_0_10_46_23. RNAcentral's name for it is "RNase P RNA component class A". It matches the Rfam family "Bacterial RNase P class A". Rfam says of the family: Ribonuclease P (RNase P) is a ubiquitous endoribonuclease, found in archaea, bacteria and eukarya as well as chloroplasts and mitochondria. Its best characterised activity is the generation of mature 5'-ends of tRNAs by cleaving the 5'-leader elements of precursor-tRNAs. Lineage: Bacteria; Candidatus Yanofskyibacteriota. The record is from RNAcentral.
GCGGUGUAUUGGAUAAUCGCGUCCGACAGCUCAAGAGCUGUCGAGAUGAGGAAAGUCCGAACUCUUAUUCACCUUCGGGUGUCUAAAAGGACAGCGGGUAACCCCCGUCCAUGGCCCUUCGGCUAGCUCAGGGUACUGAGUUCACCGAAGUACAACAUGAGAGGUGCGAGCAGAGACGCUUUGACAGGCAACUGUUGAAGAAGCUAACCCUAAAUUCUUGAUUUAUCAGGAGUUACAGCUUAGCUCUGACAAAGGGGAAAAUGUCAGAGGUGAAACGGCUAAAUCCUUGUUCGGGAGCAAGAGCAGCGUUUCUUCGAUGAUUCGGGAUCUUUGUCCUGAGCUUGUCGAAGGGCGAAAAGUUCGCUCGCUAGAACCAGCCAGUAAUGGCUGGUCCAGAUAAAUGAUUAUCUCCGCCAGUCGGCGGAACAGAAUUCGGCUUAUAGAUACACCGCGCAA